Molecule: ribosomal RNA, 253 nt
Filed under: uncultured bacterium
Lineage: Bacteria
Description: partial 16S ribosomal RNA
Rfam family: Bacterial small subunit ribosomal RNA
Source: RNAcentral
UACGUAGGGGGCAAGCGUUGUCCGGAUUUAUUGGGCGUAAAGCGCGCGCAGGCGGCUUGGUAAGUCGGCCGUGAAAUCUCCAGGCUCAACUUGGAGGGGUCGGGCGAGACUGCCAGGCUUGAGGUGGGUAGAGGGCAGUGGAAUUCCGGGUGUAGUGGUGGAAUGCGUAGAGAUCCGGAGGAACACCAGUGGCGAAGGCGGCUGCCUGGGCCUGGCCUGACGCUGAGGCGCGAAAGCGUGGGGAGCAAUCCGG